AAUCUCUGGCUUCUGGUCAGAGGUUGUCUGAAAACACCUCUUGCUUCUGGACUAAAAUGAGGAUAAGACUUUCGCCUUUUACUAAAGUCUUCCGUGUCCAGGAGUGCAAAAUGAGUAUGUAGACUAUUUUUUGCAAGUUCUGUCUUCGGAUGGGACA
RNAcentral lists this small nuclear RNA (157 nucleotides) under Strigamia maritima. RNAcentral describes it as "U5 spliceosomal RNA". The stretch from base 35 to 157 matches the Rfam family "U5 spliceosomal RNA". Rfam says of the family: U5 RNA is a component of both types of known spliceosome. The precise function of this molecule is unknown, though it is known that the 5' loop is required for splice site selection and p220 binding, and that both the 3' stem-loop and the Sm site are important for Sm protein binding and cap methylation. Lineage: Eukaryota; Metazoa; Arthropoda; Chilopoda; Geophilomorpha; Linotaeniidae. The record is from RNAcentral.